RNAcentral lists this transfer RNA (74 nucleotides) under Lepisosteus oculatus (spotted gar). It matches the Rfam family "tRNA". From Rfam's summary of the family: Transfer RNA (tRNA) molecules are approximately 80 nucleotides in length. Lineage: Eukaryota; Metazoa; Chordata; Actinopteri; Semionotiformes; Lepisosteidae. The record is from Rfam by way of RNAcentral.
GGCUGGUUAGCUCAAUUGGUAAGCAUGUAGUGCUGAUAACACUGAGGUUGUGGGUUCAAUCCCCAUAUGGGCCA